GACGAACGCUGGCGGCGUGCUUAACACAUGCAAGUCGAACGGUGAAGCGCCUUCCUUUUUGGUGGGUGUGGAUGAGUGGCGAACGGGUGAGUAACACGUGAGUAACCUGCCCCCUUCUUCUGGAUAACCGCAUGAAAGUGUGGCUAAUACGGGAUAUUCUGGGUCUGUCGCAUGAUGGGUCUGGGAAAGAUAUUGUUUCGGUGGGGGAUGGGCUCGCGGCCUAUCAGCUUGUUGGUGGGGUGAUGGCCUACCAAGGCGGUGACGGGUAGCCGGCCUGAGAGGGUGGACGGUCACACUGGGACUGAGACACGGCCCAGACUACUACGGGAGGCAGCAGUGGGGAAUAUUGCACAAUGGGCGCAAGCCUGAUGCAGCGACGCCGCGUGAGGGAUGGAGGCCUUCGGGUUGUGAACCUCUUUUGCCAGUGAAGCAGGCCUGCCUCGUUUGUGGGUGGGUUGACGGUAGCUGGAUAAGAAGCGCCGGCUAACUACGUG
This 494-nucleotide ribosomal RNA is filed under the name uncultured bacterium. RNAcentral describes it as "partial 16S ribosomal RNA". It matches the Rfam family "Bacterial small subunit ribosomal RNA", at positions 28 to 507 of the family's 1533-position model. The record is from RNAcentral.